GGCUGAGAGCUGAUGGGCACUCCACGUGGUGGAGUGAUCUGGUGAUCCUAUGCUGCCAAGAAAAGCAUCGACGUGAGGUUUGAUCCGCCCGUACCCAUAACCGACACAGGUAGUCAGGUAGAGAAUACUAAGGCGAGCGAGAUAAUCGUAGUUAAGGAACUCGGCAAAUUGCCCCCGUAACUUCGGAAGAAGGGGGACCAUCCUGGUAUGAGCCUUUUUGCGGUGAAAGCUGGUGGUGGUCGCAGAGACCAGAGAGAAGCGACUGUUUACUAAAAACACAGGUCCGUGCGAAGACGUAAGUCGAUGUAUACGGACUGACGCCUGCCCGGUGCUGGAAGGUUAAGAGGACCCGUUAACCCUUGGGUGAAGCGGAGAAUUUAAGCCCCAGUAAACGGCGGUGGUAACUAUAACCAUCCUAAGGUAGCGAAAUUCCUUGUCGGGUAAGUUCCGACCUGCACGAAUGGCGUAACGACUUCUCUGCUGUCUCUACUACGAACUCGGCGAAAUUGCAUUACGAGUAAAGAUGCUCGUUACGCGCAGCAGGACGGAAAGACCCCGAGACCUUUACUACAGUUUGGUAUUGGUGUUCGGUGUGGCUUGUGUAGGAUAGGUGGGAGACUGUGAAGCAUGCACGCCAGUGUGUGUGGAGUCAUUGGUGAAAUACCACUCUGGCCAUUCUGGAUUCCUUAACUUCGGACCCUGAUCGGGUUCAGGGACAGUGCCUGAUGGGUAGUUUAACUGGGGCGGUUGCCUCCCAAAGAGUAACGGAGGCGCCCAAAGGUUCCCUCAGCCUGGUUGGCAAUCAGGUUUUGAGUGUAAGUGCACAAGGGAGCUUGACUGUGAGACGGACGUGUCGAGCAGGAGCGAAAGCUGGGACUAGUGACCCGGCCGUGGAUUGUGGAAUCGCGGUCGCUCAACGGAUAAAAGGUACCUCGGGGAUAACAGGCUGAUCUUGCCCAAGAGUCCAUAUCGACGGCAUGGUUUGGCACCUCGAUGUCGGCUCGUCGCAUCCUGGGGCUGGAGUCGGUCCCAAGGGUUGGGCUGUUCGCCCAUUAAAGCGGUACGCGAGCUGGGUUUAGAACGUCGUGAGACAGUUCGGUCCCUAUCCGCUGCGUGCGUAGGAAAUUUGAGAAGGGCUGUCCUUAGUACGAGAGGACCGGGACGGACGAACCUCUGGUGUGCCAGUUGUACCGCCAGGUGCAUGGCUGGUUGGCUACGUUCGGGAAGGAUAACCGCUGAAAGCAUCUAAGCGGGAAGCCUGCUUCAAGAUGAGAUUUCCAUGAGGUGCCCUACAGACUAUAGGGUUGAUAGGCCAGAUGUGGAAGCACAGUAAUGUGUGUAGCUGACUGGUACUAAUACACCGAUCACUCACACAC
This 1376-nucleotide non-coding RNA is filed under the name Brevibacterium mcbrellneri ATCC 49030. RNAcentral describes it as "Bacterial large subunit ribosomal RNA". It matches the Rfam family "Bacterial large subunit ribosomal RNA", at positions 1554 to 2925 of the family's 2925-position model. The record is from Rfam by way of RNAcentral. Lineage: Bacteria; Bacillati; Actinomycetota; Actinomycetes; Micrococcales; Brevibacteriaceae.